Molecule: ribosomal RNA, 714 nt
Filed under: Triticum aestivum (bread wheat)
Lineage: Eukaryota; Viridiplantae; Streptophyta; Magnoliopsida; Poales; Poaceae
Description: partial small subunit ribosomal RNA
Source: RNAcentral
AUGGCACACAAUAGAGCACCCAGGCCGGACAACAUUCCUGUAGAAUUCUAUCAAGUGUGUUGGGAUAUCGUGAAGGAUGAUAUUAUGCUCCUGUUUGAACACUUUCAUAAAGGGGAAUUGGACGUACAGCGCCUUAAUUAUGGAGUGAUUACUCUUCUCCCCAAAACCGCGGGCGCGGACAAGAUUCAACAGUUCCGGCCGAUUUGCCUCCUGAGAUGUCCGUACAAACUUAUCACUAAGGUCCUAGAUAGGCGAGUUGAAAAAUAUGCUGAUAAGCUCAUAAAUAGGGCCCAGAACACUUUCGUGAAAAAAAGGAACAUCAUGGACGGGGUGAUGUCUCUGCAUGAAAUUCUUAACUAUACUCACGUGAAAAAGAGAGUGGGGGUGAUUCUGAAACUUGAUUUUGAGAAGGCUUACGACAAAGUCAACUGGGAUUUUAUUCUUGAGUGUCAUAAGCUCCGAGGCUUUAACGAAAAAUGGUGCGGGUGGAUUAGAAGUAUCCUACACAAUGGGACUAUGAGCAUUAAGUUGAAUAACCAAGUUGGCCCUUACUUUCAAAGUGCGAAAGGGGUCCGGCAAGGUGACCCCCAUUCCCCUUUCUUGUUCAAUUUAGCUGUGGACUGUUUGGCUAAAAUGAUUACAAAUGCCCAAAAAAGUGGCCUGAUAGUGGGGCUGGCCGCUGAUUUAAUUCCUAAUGGAGUAGCAGUUCUUUAG